Molecule: long non-coding RNA, 303 nt
Organism: Perca fluviatilis (European perch)
Lineage: Eukaryota; Metazoa; Chordata; Actinopteri; Perciformes; Percidae
Exons: 3
Source: RefSeq, a predicted model, not a curated record
UUAGACAUGAAAGGGUAGAGAGAGGGGGAACGACAUGCAGCAAACGGCCGCAGGUCGGAAUCGAACCCGCGGCCGCUACGAGGACAGAGCCUCCGUACAGGGGCGCCCGCGAGCCACCCAGGGCAAAUUACAUCGACUGAGGAUGAUAUGAUCGAAAGCUCCAGAACAACUACCAAAUGGACCUUGAGCACUCUGCAUCAGCUGGAGGCAUGACAACACCAUCUGUAUCAGAAAUGCAGGAGAAGAACAGAAACUACGCAUAAAUGUUGUAAAGAGGCUUUACUCCAGAAGAUACGGUCCAAG